GGCACAUGGCAGGUGACAAGUCUGGGAGGCUGAGAAGGACAGGAAGUCAAGUCUCAUAGAUAGGCCAGCUGGAAGAUGGGCUUGGGAGGCACAAACUAAGAUCCAGCCCCUCAGCAUUUCUUUGUUGUCAUCAUGCCAUCUGCGACAGCUGACAAUGACUAUGGGACUUUUCUGCUGGAGACCAGAAAGCCAUUUCCUGCAGCGGGGAGUAAGGCCGCGGUGGUUUGGCAUAAAGGCAAGCAGGAACCUGGGAAGAUAUGGCGAUGGUGGUAGCCCAGAGGAGGAGCCCCCACCAAAGAAGGCCCUCAGAGGAGUGGAUGUGCCUCCCUCACCCAGCCCACCAGUGUUCUCUUGACACUCCCUUCAUACCAGUUUUCCCCUCCUGGCCAACUCCAGAAGGCUGGUCCUGCAUAAACCCACUCUAGCCCAGCAUCCCCACCCCCUCCACCCCCAAUUAGAUAUGGGGGCUCUGUCUCCACACCCACCCCCCACCCCCCACCGAAGUUCUCACAGAAGCAAAGCACAAUCACCUUAGACUCUGGCAUGCUGAGGCCAGGCUGCAACUAAUGGCUUCCCCUCCUAGCCAGCCUAUUGUUUAAUAAAAAGAUCCACAAGUAGUA
Molecule: long non-coding RNA, 620 nt
Organism: Erinaceus europaeus (western European hedgehog)
Lineage: Eukaryota; Metazoa; Chordata; Mammalia; Eulipotyphla; Erinaceidae
Exons: 3
Source: RefSeq, a predicted model, not a curated record